Molecule: long non-coding RNA, 5206 nt
Organism: Ctenopharyngodon idella (grass carp)
Lineage: Eukaryota; Metazoa; Chordata; Actinopteri; Cypriniformes; Xenocyprididae
Exons: 2
Source: RefSeq, a predicted model, not a curated record
GAUGUUCGACGCUCCCCAAAAGGCGGAAGAUUUUGUCAGUUCCUUCACAGAAGAUAUACUCUGCAGCGGGAAGGCAACGGCUUCCGUCUCCAUCCCUUCAGCUCAACAAGGGGAUAAAGUUUAUGAUGAUCCUCACUGUCCUUAAAGGGUUAGUUCACCCAAAAAUGAAAAUAAUGUCAUUUAUUACUCGCGCUCAUGUCGUUCCACACCCGUAAGACCUUCGUUAAUCUUCGGAACGCAAAUUGAGAUAUUUUUGUUUAAAUCCGAUGGCUCCAUGAGGCCUCCAUAGCCAGCAAUGACAUUUUAAACAAAAAUUUAAACAAAAAUAUCUUAAUUUGUGUUCCGAAGAUCAACAAAGAUCUUACGGGUGUAAAACGGCACGAGGGUGAGUAAUUAAUGACAGAAUUUUCAUUUUUGGGUGAACUAACCCUUUAAGAGAACGAUAACAAGGUGGCCAUGGACACUUUAUCCCCUUGGAAUUAUAAGGUUCUGUCUGCGUUCUGAGCGGUUUUGAGAUAUUGAGCUUCAAAGUUUUUGCAUUCCAUAUAGCAAAAACUAUAUGGGGAACAAGUUUCUUUCAAACAUGAAAAUGACAGGGACAGUAAAUGUAUUCUAAAUGUACAAUAUCAAAAUCCUCUCAAAUUUGUAAAUGGGGAUUUUUGGAACGGGUCAAAUGCAGAUAGAACCUUUUAAUUCUAAAAAAAAAAAAAAAAAAACACUUUUCGCUUGGAAUUAUAAGGUUCUAUCUGGUAAAAAAUUAAUUGAAGCAAUAAUUUUCAAGAAACAAACAGUUUGCUUAUAAUUUCCUUUAAAACAAAAUUAGUGUUGUAACAAUGUGUUGACAUGCAUGAGUGUUACAUACAGAAGGGAGCGGAGACACAGGUAAGGAUUAACAGGUUUAUUUCAGGUAAAGCAGAGCGUGAGCAGAGUGCAGGUGAGUGAUGGCAGAUGAAUAGGUCGAUGAGCCGAUGAACUGGAACUGAUACUUGUCUGUGUUCUCUUAGGGAGCGUGGAUGCCGGGAGACGUGGAACAGACGAACACACAGGAGAAGCACAGGAGACGAGGAGACACUAGGAAUCACUGAGGACGCUGAAGACAGGUAAGUAGUCGAGCAAGGGAGUCCUGGAGGUAAGUAAACACUGGUAUGUGUUAACGAGACCGGACAGUGACUGAGUGAACUGGCGUGUCUUUUAUGUGGCUGUGGUGAUGAGUGUGAAUGAGCGUCAGGUGUGGCUUGUCAGUACUCAGGAGAGGGAGUGCGAUGUGAUUGGGUGAGUGUAGAGCCUGGCGUGUCUGUGACAAUGAGAAAGUUUAAUUUAAUAGUUUUUAUGACAUUUAUUUUUUUAUAUUUUAAAUGAAUAUUUAUAUAUGGGUAAUUUAACACAUUAUUGCAGGAACCAUUUAAGUAUAAGUUUCCUUUUGUUUAGACAGAAAGCAGCAAUAUUGUAAAAUUUAAGACAUUUUAAGACUAAAAAACUGCAAGAAAACAGACAGUGCUUCAGCAAAGGUGUUUAACAAAGUUUAAUAAACAUUGAAAAAUGUUUCACUGACUAUAUAUAAUUAAAAAUAUUUCACAUUUAAAAUAUUUAAAUUACUUCAACUAUGCAACAACUCAGUUUUUGCCAACAAUCUAAAAUUUAACAUUUCAUCUCACUUAAUCUAGUAUACACUUUAAUCCAGUAUGCCAUAGCGUAGAGCUUUAUAUCUACAUACAGCUCAAUUCAAGCACACAGGAUGGAUCAAGGUUAAAACAUAACCUAAUAUGUACAUAACUUUCCCUCGUAUGACGUGACUGGAAAUAAGUAAAUUGACUACAAAACCCAGACCUAUCCUUUUAAUAGCGCUGCUGGCUAACGUUAGCAUGGUGUCUAACUGAAAAUAACUCCCUAACAAAAGAUACAGCAAAACACACAAAAAGACUGUAAUUCCCUGGAAUUUGGGCUGCUGUCAUUGUCAAGAUCAUAAAUAAAAUAGUCGAUCAUGAGCUUUCUAAUAAACAUCGCGUUGUGUGAAAUUAUUUAGUCUUCACCGAUUUAGCGUUUUCGUGAACAUCACAAAAAAGAAACAUCACAUAAUGUAAAUAAGUUGUCACAGAAUAUGAAUAUGUGAAUAACUCAAUUUUGACAAAAAUGUCAGAUAGAACCUUCUAAUUCCAAGGGGACGACUUGUUCAUUUCUUUUUGGAAUCUUGUCCUGUACGCUCGUCCGCUGACUCGUAAAUGGGCCUGGGGACAUGUCUUGUGUUGAAGUGGACUGGUCAACAUUUGUUUCUGUUGUUUGCGCACACCUACAUUCUCGUGUACAUGUACAUUGUUGUUUGUCGUUCCUUUUUCUUGUUUUUUUUUUUUUUGUUUGUUUUUGUUUUGUUUUUUCUGUUCCCUUUAACAGGCAUUUAUUUAUCUUGCUUUUCUUUUAAAAGGAUUAUGCAUCGCGAUGGAUUGGUAUCUAGCAUACAUCUUUAUCAUGAGGUACUUUUCUCCACAUGUUUUGGGAAUGUCCAGUUGUUUUUAUGGACUCAUGUGAAUUCUGUUUUGUCCUUUUUACUACAAACUGAUUACGUCUCUAAUCCAGGUUUACAGUGGGUACGGAAAGUAUUCAGACCCCCUUAAAUUUUUCACUCUUUGUUAUAUUGCAGCCAUUUGCUAAAAUCAUUUAAGUUCAUUUUUUUUCCUCAUUAAUGUACUCACAGCACCCCAUAAUGACAGAAAAACACAGAAUUGUUGACAUUUUUGCAGAUUUAUUAAAAAAGAAAAACUGAAAUAUCACAUGGUCCUAAGUAUUCAGACCCUUUGCUGUGACACUCAUAUAUUUAACUCAGGUGCUGUCCAUUUCUUCUGAUCAUCCUUGAGAUGGUUCUACACCUUCAUUUGAGUCCAGCUGUGUUUGAUUAUACUGACUGGACUUGAUUAGGAAAGCCACACACCUGUCUAUAUAAGACCUUACAGCUCACAGUGCAUGUCAGAGCAAAUGAGAAUCAUGAGGUCAAAGGAACUGCCUGAAGAGCUCAGAGACAGAAUUGUGGCAAGACACAGAUCUGGCCAAGGUUACAAAAACAUUUCUGCUGCACUUAAGGUUCCUAAGAGCACAGUGGCCUCCAUAAUCCUUAAAUGGAAGACGUUUGGGACGACAAGAACCCUUCCUAGAGCUGGCUGUCCCGCCAAACUGAGCUAUCGGGGGAGAAGAGCCUUGGUGAGAGAGGUAAAGAAGAACCCAAAGAUCACUGUGGCUGAGCUCCAGAGAUGCAGUCGGGAGAUGGGAGAAAGUUGUAGAAAGUCAACCAUCACUGCAGCCCUCCACCAGUCGGGGCUUUAUGGCAGAGUGGCCCGACGGAAGCCUCUCCUCAGUGCAAGACACAUGAAAGCCCGCAUGGAGGACUCCAAGAUGGUGAGAAAUAAGAUUCUCUAGUCUGAUGAGACCAAGAUAGAACUUUUUGGCCUUAAUUCUAAGCGGUAUGUGUGGAGAAAACCAGGCACUGCUCAUCACCUGUCCAAUACAGUCCCAACAGUGAAGCAUGGUGGUGGCAGCAUCAUGCUGUGGGGGUGUUUUUCAGCUGCAGGGACAGGACGACUGGUUGCAAUCGAGGGAAAGAUGAAUGCGGCCAAGUACAGGGAUAUCCUGGACGAAAACCUUCUCCAGAGUGCUCAGGACCUCAGACUGGGCCGAAGGUUUACCUUCCAACAAGACAAUGACCCUAAGCACACAGCUAAAAUAACGAAGGAGUGGCUUCACAACAACUCUGUGACUGUUCUUGAAUGGCCCAGCCAGAGCCCUGACUUAAACCCAAUUGAGCAUCUCUGGAGAGACCUAAAAAUGGCUGUCCACCAACGUUUACCAUCCAACCUGACAGAACUGGAGAGGAUCUGCAAGGAGGAAUGGCAGAGGAUCCCCAAAUUCAGGUGUGAAAAACUUGUUGUAUCUUUCCCAAAAAGACUCAUGGCUGUAUUAGAUCAAAAGGGCGCUUCUACUAAAUACUGAGCAAAGGGUCUGAAUACUUAGGACCAUGUGAUAUUUCAGUUUUUCUUUUUUAAUAAAUCUGCAAAAAUGUCAACAAUUCUGUGUUUUUCUGUCAAUAUGGGGUGCUGUGUGUACAUUAAUGAGGAAAAAAAUGAACUUAAAUGAUUUUAGCAAAUGGCUGCAAUAUAACAAAGAGUGAAAAAUUUAAGGGGGUCUGAAUACUUUCCGUACCUACUGUAUGUCUUCUCAAUGACGAUUCUAACUGCUGUAUGAGUUCAUUAAAGAAGAGAAUGUUGUUUGCUGGUUUACUCCGCACAUGUGUGCAAAAACAUAUUGGAUUCAAAGCCUCCUUAAAAUAGUGACUUGUGAAUGUACAACAGCACGAAUCAACAAGGCUAAACCCAGUACCACUGAUGCAUAUUGGACUAUAUAUAGGAAUUACAAUAUAAUGUAUUUUUUUUCUCUCUCUCUUCUUCCCCUUUCAGAUUGUAAAAUUAUUGAUAACAUGUCUGUUGCUCCCCUUUCCCCGUUUGUUUGUUUAAAUGGAUGUUUUGUUAAAUCUAUAGGCAAUGAAAAAAAAAUGAUCUGAAAUUGACAUUUGACAUUUGAACUCCAGUGAAGUCCACUAUAUGGAGAAAAAUCCUGGAAUGUUUUCCUCAAAAUCCUUAAUUUCUUUUUGACUGAAGAAUGGAUGACAUGGGGUGGCCUUCAAGAUCACAGAUCUGAAUCCAACAGAAAACCUUUGGAACAAUAAGAGAUCUGCAGAUAUUAUGGGAUUCAAUCAUGUCAACAUGGAGCAGAAUCCAGAAACCAUCUUGGAAACCUUUUAUCACGCCCUCAUUGAUAGAUUUUACUGCUUUGCAAAUUUUUCAAAAGAUUUUUUACACUCUUGUCCCAGACUCAAACGUUCAGUCUAAGCCUGUGAAAAUCCAUCAAAGAUAUCCUAAUAUUACUACAUAUUAAAUCUAUGAUGACCUAAAUAAACAAAGAGUGAAAUAAACUGAAACAAUUAUUUAAAAAUGAUGACCAUAUAGUUACAGCAUCAUUUCCAACUGUUUAAGAGACAAUAGUGUCAGUGGAGAUGAUUGAGAUUAAAUAUGAGACAUGUGAUGUAUGUGGAAAACAAAGAGAAAUAAACAUAAAUAUCAGUUAUGAAUGCAAUAUUUGUACUGACUAUGAUCUUGAUGAAAAAUGAGGCUUAUUGCAGAAUUAAGAGUGAUUAACAAUAAAACAUCUAAACUAAAUCUGCAAA